GCAGCUGGGACGAAAGACCAAGAGAAGAAGGCAAACCCUGGCGCGAGACCCAAAACCUCUCCUCCAAACGUCACCUCGGCCGCUCAGAGUCCAGGCUCCAAGGUCCAGAGAGCCAAGUCCGAUGGCACCGCGGCUCAGGCCACCUCCACGUCGGGCAGCGCCUCGCCGGAGAACGGAGCCAGCAGCCCCAGGAACGACGCCCAGACUGUGCCAGGUGCAAAACCGAAACAGCAGGUCAAGACCGUGAACAAGUCCGCGCCAACAAAGCUCCUCAGAAAACGGAGCCAACCAAGACUAGCAGUUCAACAAACAAGCCCAGUGCCAGAGAGAACAGUAAAGCGAAAACAAUGGGAGCAGAGAAAACGACCUCUGCCCCGACGAGAGCGGACACCAAAGGAAGAGCAGCAGCGGACACCCAUGGUUAGAUAUUUAACCUAUAUACAUUUUUCUAUUUUAAUUUUUGCAACAGGUAAACUCACAAAGUCAAGAUAAUAUUUAAUUAAAACGUUAUGCAGAAAUGCAAUCUAAUAGUGCAGGACUUAUUAUGCAUGGUCCACCCAUUUUCUUCCGCUUUAUCCGGGGCCGGGUCGUGGAGGCAGCAGUCUGAGCAGAGAUGCCCAGACUUCCCUCUCCACACUCACUUCCUCCAGCUUAUACUGUAGAGCAGUGGUUCCCAAAGUGGGGUCCGGGACCCCCUGGGGGGCCUUGGAGACACUAUAGGGGGGCCCCAAAAACCUGGUCUAGAAAACAAG
Molecule: long non-coding RNA, 752 nt
Filed under: Neogobius melanostomus (round goby)
Lineage: Eukaryota; Metazoa; Chordata; Actinopteri; Gobiiformes; Gobiidae
Description: lncRNA (ENSNMLG00000004313.1)
Source: RNAcentral